CACACGAUAAUUUGAGUGGGGUGGCAUUUAUUUUUGGGUGUGGCUUUUAGUGGGUGCAGAGGAGUCCUUCUCCACUUAAAAUUAUUUCAAGUUGGAUAGGAAACCAAUUAAGAUAGACCCAAUCCCAUUAGGUCAAAGACAACUGGUCUAGGUUAGCUCAAACACUUUGAUCUAAACCAAUUUAGGAACUUGAGUUAAUACAAUGUGUUAGCAUAUCUAAUUAACUUAUAA
This 231-nucleotide long non-coding RNA is filed under the name Elaeis guineensis (African oil palm). RNAcentral describes it as "long non-coding RNA (EGUI_LNC014579)". The record is from RNAcentral. Lineage: Eukaryota; Viridiplantae; Streptophyta; Magnoliopsida; Arecales; Arecaceae.